UGUGGCUCUGCCUGCCAGGCACAGUUGUUUGUGCUUAAUAAAUCAUUUGGGAAGGUCUGUGUUCCUUCAAUAGCGUUGGUCCCUGUUGUAUAAUCCCAUCAGCCGUGUGAUUCAACAGGUAGCACUUACUAUAUGGUGCUUUAUGUUUAUAAAGCAUGUAAAGAACAAGGAGAAAUCCAGUUUCAGGUGUGUCUGAGAAUUUGGAUAACAAGUAUCGCAGGAGGAAAAUCAGGCAGAGAGCACAUGUAGAGACUGAGCCAGUUCCUUAGGGAGGCUGGAGAACAAAGAGGGCCAUAACCCAGUCCUCUGUAUGGGAACACCACCCAGCAAUGCAAUGAGGAGAUGAUUGCACCAGAAAUCUCACAGCAAAACCCAGGCAUUGAGAUCUUCAAUCUGAAUGUCUUGCUCGAAACCCACCUGCCAGAGCUUACACCUGAGCAUCCCACAUCUCACUGGAAGCAGAAAGGUCCAUGCUGGCUGGUUCAAUCAAGUUUGCUGAGGAAAGAUCCAACACAGCGUGGUUUUUGUCCUCGUGUUGGUUGGACACAGUCCUUGGCCUGUGCUCUCCCAUACCAGGAGUGGUGCCAGCAAAUGAACGAGGCAUAUUAUCAAGGGACAGUGUACAAGGCUCACUCCGUGAGCUUGCAUGGACACAGGGUGAAGAGUUCAGCUGGACCUCAGAAAUAUCCAGGGAGAAGACACUCCUGAAGGUCUUGGAAAACAGAAUUUCCUCAAAAUGGAGGAAACUGUCUCUGUUUCAGGAGAGAGUCAAUGGAUCUGUCAGGGCAGCAGUGGGAAGGAGGUCCCUCCAAACCAUCAUCCUGUCAUGUAAUUUUUUCACCUGCUUCACGGGCUCUUCAUUUUUUCAUCUCCUACCAUCAGUACCAAGCAUGAAAUAUGUGGCUUUUAGGAGAGUCUCUGAACUCAAGAGCUCCUGUUAUGGAAACAGGGAAAUUAAGACAAUUAAAGAACGCAACCACCAGGCAAGAAAUUUACAGUGA
Molecule: long non-coding RNA, 1001 nt
Filed under: Anas platyrhynchos platyrhynchos (common mallard)
Lineage: Eukaryota; Metazoa; Chordata; Aves; Anseriformes; Anatidae
Description: lncRNA (ENSAPLG00000030178.1)
Source: RNAcentral